This 499-nucleotide ribosomal RNA is filed under the name uncultured bacterium. RNAcentral describes it as "partial 16S ribosomal RNA". It matches the Rfam family "Bacterial small subunit ribosomal RNA", at positions 899 to 1397 of the family's 1533-position model. The record is from RNAcentral.
ACUCAAAUGAAUUGACGGGGGCCCGCACAAGCAGUGGAUCAUGUGGUUUAAUUCGAAGCAACGCGAAGAACCUUACCUGGACUUGACAUCCUCUGACCGAUGCAGAGAUGCAUAAUUCGUAGCAAUACGACAGAGAGACAGGUGCUGCAUGGCUGUCGUCAGCUCGUGUGGUGACAUGUUGGGUUAAGUCCCGCAACGAGCGCAACCCUUGUCUUUAGUUGCCAGCAUUAAGUUGGGCACUCUAGAGAGACUGCCGUGGUUAACACGGAGGAAGGUGGGGAUGACGUCAAGUCCUCAUGGCCUUUAUGUCCAGGGCGACACACGUGAUACAAUGGGCGACACAGAGGGACGCGAAACCGCGAGGUGGAGCAAAUCUCAAAAAAUCGCUCUUAGUUCGGAUUGGAGUCUGCAAUUCGACUCCAUGAAGGUGGAAUUGCUAGUAAUCGCGGAUCAGCACGCCGCGGUGAAUACGUUCCCGGGCCUUGUACACACCGCCCGU